Molecule: long non-coding RNA, 1258 nt
Organism: Dioscorea cayenensis subsp. rotundata (Guinea yam)
Lineage: Eukaryota; Viridiplantae; Streptophyta; Magnoliopsida; Dioscoreales; Dioscoreaceae
Exons: 6
Source: RefSeq, a predicted model, not a curated record
AGCAACAGGAACUCGAUCAGAGACAAAUGUGGCUGUGGGUAUGUGUUUAGUGUGACUAUUUACUCAAACAUGAACCAAGCUUUUAUUGUUGCUCUCAUCUCAUUGUUGUUUUUGAAGAUAUCAACAAAGAAAAGAAAGUUUAGCAUUUUAAUGUUUCACUAUCUACUCAAACAGGGACCAGACAUUUAUUGUUGCUUCUCCGAUCAUCUCCUGUGGCAUGUCGUGGCUUUCUCCUUUGUUUUUUGGCAAACAGCAAAACACCCUGCUAUCACUGACACUGCCCACCAUUUCCUCUGAUUCACAAUCCUUGGAAUUCUAACUUUUUUAUUUUUAGUUGAUUUUUUUAUUUUUUAAGGUUUCUCAUGAUUCCAAAGUUUUGGUUUUUCUCAUCUUGUUGUGUUGAACCCACUAAAAUUUAUUUGUUACUUGUUAGCAUAAUGGUUCGUGUGAAAAUUUUCAGUUGUAUUAGGAUCAUUGACAAUGCGGGCAGUGAGCUUUUUGUUUUUGGAUAUGAAUUAUGUUUUUUUUUCUAUUGAACCUUUGUUGGGAUGUUUGAUGUGAAAUGUGAUUCAUGAUUUUUUUCUCUGGGUGUAAUCUAACUGAUGAUUUUUACAAGAAAUGGUCGCAGAUGAAAAUUCCCCAUUGAUCAAGAAGUUCGAAGGUGUUUAUGUUGGCUGAGUUUAACUUUCCUAGAGAUUUAAUUGAAUCAAAACCCAUUGAAUCAGCCCAAGGAAAAACCAGCAAGGACUAGUAAAGAGGCUUCAUAUGCAGAUAGAGAAAAGAAAUGAUAGCACCAGUUUUCAUGGGAAUAUCUAAGCUCCCAAUCAAAGUUUGCAUAUAAGAAUCUGUGCAUGUGUAUACUAAGGCACUCGGCAAGCUUCACCGUGACAACAUGAUCCAGAACCACAAAAGUGCUGAAGCUUAACACAUCAGGUUCUAGUCUAAAAAGGGAGUACCAGAACAAAAACUACGAGCACACCUAGGUUCUUUUGGUGUCUCAGGCUAUCUUGCACUUCAACCAAUGUAUACUUUGUCAGGACUUGAACGCAGCUGAGACACUUAUCCAAGGCCUAGUCAUUUUUCAAGGAGGGUUCUGAUGUUGAGCCAUGAUGAUCACUUGAUAUUGCCAUGUUUAUGUUUCAAGAUGGACAACAAGACUAUACAAACUUGUCAUUCUACUUCAAUGUAAAAUGAAUUGGAUUUUGUUCUAUUAGAUGUUUUGACUAUUAUAUUUUAUAUUGGAUUGUUAUUUUGAAAA